GCAUCUAUAGCUCAGCUGGAUAGAGCGUUGGACUUCGAAUCCACAGGUCGCGAGUUCGAAUCUUGCUAGGUGCACCA
Molecule: transfer RNA, 77 nt
Filed under: Enterococcus faecalis
Lineage: Bacteria; Bacillati; Bacillota; Bacilli; Lactobacillales; Enterococcaceae
Also listed under: 24 other names
Description: tRNA-Arg
Rfam family: tRNA
About the family: Transfer RNA (tRNA) molecules are approximately 80 nucleotides in length. Their secondary structure includes four short double-helical elements and three loops (D, anti-codon, and T loops).
Source: RNAcentral